RNAcentral lists this ribosomal RNA (253 nucleotides) under uncultured bacterium. RNAcentral's name for it is "partial 16S ribosomal RNA". It matches the Rfam family "Bacterial small subunit ribosomal RNA", at positions 524 to 776 of the family's 1533-position model. The record is from RNAcentral.
GACAGAGGGUGCAAACGUUGCUCGGAAUCACUGGGCGUAAAGGGCUCGUAGGUGGCCAACUAAGUCAGACGUGAAAUCCCUCGGCUUAACCGGGGAACUGCGUCUGAUACUGGAUGGCUAGAGAUUGGGAGAGGGAUGCGGAAUUCCAGGUGUAGCGGUGAAAUGCGUAGAUAUCAGGAGGAACACCGGUGGCGAAGGCGGCUCUCUGGUCCACAACUGACGCUGAGGUGCGAAAGCUAGGGGAGCAAACGGG